UGACCUCUGGUAGGGGCUGUAGCUGAGGAGCCAUCAUAGCCCUUGCCUGCAGGAGCUGGAGAUCCUGUAAUCCAGAAUGGAGAUCUGUGGCCAAUGCAGCCCCAAGGAAUACCCAUGCUGAGGAGCCCAGAGACCCCAAUGCCCCAUGGACUGUAGCUUUGGGAAGCAUGGUAAGAAGUGACCCAGGAAGGGGCGAGUACAGAGUUUCAGGAUGGGGACAAUUGUGCUGCAAAGAUGUAUGAGCCCCACCUCACCCAGUGUGGGAAGGGAAAGAUCAAUGUGCAGAGGAUAGCUUCUGUGUGCAGAUCUCAGGGACACAAUACAGCCCUAUGAGACCAUCUGAGGAAUUUUUUUCAUCUGCACUGUAGGAGGAAAAGUACAUCCUAUCCAGACGACUAGCACAUUCAUCCUAGAAGACUAAGAACAUCAUUAGAGAAAGUACAGUACAUUGUGAAACAGCUUGUUCCCUAGGGAAGUCAAGAACAUUCCCAAGCCAUACAGUUAACAAUAAACACUAAAGUAAUAGUGCAUCUUUCUCCACAGAAUGGCAUCAUCUUCUGUUUUUUUGUUUUUUUUUUUAGAGCUGUGAAAAAUAAAGC
Long non-coding RNA from Chelonia mydas (Green sea turtle), 599 nucleotides. RefSeq lists it as uncharacterized. The record is from RefSeq and is a predicted model, not a curated record. Lineage: Eukaryota; Metazoa; Chordata; Testudines; Cheloniidae. The transcript is spliced from 2 exons.